Molecule: ribosomal RNA, 253 nt
Filed under: uncultured bacterium
Lineage: Bacteria
Description: partial 16S ribosomal RNA
Rfam family: Bacterial small subunit ribosomal RNA
Source: RNAcentral
UACGAAGGGGGCUAGCGUUGGUCGGAUUUACUGGGCGUAAAGGGCGCGUAGGCGGAUUUUUAAGUCGGGGGUGAAAUCCCGGAGCUCAACUCCGGAACUGCCUUCGAUACUCAAAGUCUGGGGCACGGUAGAGGUGAGUGGAAUUCCGAGUGUAGAGGUGAAAUUCGUAGAUAUUCGGAGGAACACCAGUGGCGAAGGCGGCUCACUGGACCGUUGCUGACGCUGAGGCGCGAAAGCGUGGGGAGCAAAUAUG